This 414-nucleotide long non-coding RNA is filed under the name Mytilus galloprovincialis (Mediterranean mussel). Lineage: Eukaryota; Metazoa; Mollusca; Bivalvia; Mytilida; Mytilidae. The record is from RNAcentral.
UGAUGAAAGAACAUUUAAUCUUUAAUUUAUUGGAAUCAUUGAAAUGACUUAAUGAGAGAUGGUAAACUCGUCACAUACAUUUUUCUAAAUACUAAAAUAGGAAAGGAAAGUCAUUUUGAAAAAAGAAAAAAGAAAAGAGAAAAAAAAAGAGGAUUAAUAUGCAAACUACGCGCAUUAGCACAUACUAGGAGAGUUAACAUUGAAUACCGUACUCUGUUAGAGAGAAUAUUUUUAUAAAAUCAACUGUAAAUUGAUUGAUUAUUGGUGUUUAAACACUUGUCUCUAUGUCAUAUAUCAUGGCAACCAGUUAAUUGGAGUAGUAAGCCGGUGUAGCCGUAGAGAAUCACCGACAUUCUCUAGGAAACUUGCAAUCAAAAGUCAAUAAAUAUCGGAGUUGAACGCACAAUACCAAAG